RNAcentral lists this ribosomal RNA (444 nucleotides) under uncultured bacterium. RNAcentral describes it as "bacterial SSU rRNA". It matches the Rfam family "Bacterial small subunit ribosomal RNA", at positions 331 to 792 of the family's 1533-position model. The record is from RNAcentral.
CCAGACUCCUACGGGAGGCAGCAGUGGGGGAUAUUGCACAAUGGGGGGAACCCUGAUGCAGCGACGCCGCGUGAGCGAAGAAGUACCUCGGUAUGUAAAGCUCUAUCAGCAGGGAAGAAAAUGACGGUACCUGACUAAGAAGCCCCGGCUAAAUACGUGCCAGCAGCCGCGGUAAUACGUAGGGGGCAAGCGUUAUCCGGAUUUACUGGGUGUAAAGGGUGCGUAGGUGGCAGGGCAAGUCAGAUGUGAAAGCCCGGGGCCCAACCCCGGUACUGCAUUUGAAACUGUCCGGCUGGAGUGCAGGAGAGGUAAGCGGAAUUCCUAGUGUAGCGGUGAAAUGCGUAGAUAUUAGGAGGAACACCAGUGGCGAAGGCGGCUUACUGGACUGUAACUGACACUGAGGCACGAAAGCGCGGGUAUCGAGCAGGAUUAGAUACCCGUGUA